RNAcentral lists this transfer RNA (86 nucleotides) under Alligator mississippiensis (American alligator). It matches the Rfam family "tRNA". From Rfam's summary of the family: Transfer RNA (tRNA) molecules are approximately 80 nucleotides in length. Their secondary structure includes four short double-helical elements and three loops (D, anti-codon, and T loops). Further hydrogen bonds mediate the characteristic L-shaped molecular structure. tRNAs have two regions of fundamental functional importance: the anti-codon, which is responsible for specific mRNA codon recognition, and the 3' end, to which the tRNAs corresponding amino acid is attached (by aminoacyl-tRNA synthetases). tRNAs cope with the degeneracy of the genetic code in two manners: having more than one tRNA (with a specific anti-codon) for a particular amino acid; and 'wobble' base-pairing, i.e. permitting non-standard base-pairing at the 3rd anti-codon position. The record is from Rfam by way of RNAcentral. Lineage: Eukaryota; Metazoa; Chordata; Crocodylia; Alligatoridae.
GGCUCUGUGGUGCAAUGGAUAGCGCACUGGCCUUCUACUAAGCAGAAGGCAUUCAAAGGUUGUGGGUUUGAGUCCCACCAGAGUCA